Molecule: small nuclear RNA, 37 nt
Filed under: Eremothecium gossypii ATCC 10895
Lineage: Eukaryota; Fungi; Ascomycota; Saccharomycetes; Saccharomycetales; Saccharomycetaceae
Also listed under: 1 other name
Description: AgSNR70 (AGOS_AgSNR70)
Source: RNAcentral
AGCCGAGAAUUGAUGAGUGGUCGUAAGAUAGCUGACU